AACGAACGCUGGCGGCAUGCCUAACACAUGCCAGUCGAACGAGACCUUCGGGUCUAGUGGCGCACGGGUGCGUAACGCGUGGGAACCUGCCCUUAGGUUCGGAAUAACUCCCCGAAAGGGGUGCUAAUACCGGAUAAUGUCUUCGGACCAAAGAUUUAUCGCCUUUGGAUGGGCCCGCGUUGGAUUAGCUAGUUGGUAGGGUAAAAGCCUACCAAGGCGACGAUCCAUAGCUGGUCUGAGAGGAUGAUCAGCCACACUGGGACUGAGACACGGCCCAGACUCCUACGGGAGGCAGCAGUGGGGAAUAUUGGACAAUGGGCGAAAGCCCGAUCCAGCAAUGCCGCGUGAGUGAUGAAGGCCUUAGGGUUGUAAAGCUCUUUUACCCGGGAUGAUAAUGACAGUACCGGGAGAAUAAGCUCCGGCUAACUCCGUG
RNAcentral lists this ribosomal RNA (433 nucleotides) under uncultured bacterium. RNAcentral's name for it is "partial 16S ribosomal RNA". It matches the Rfam family "Bacterial small subunit ribosomal RNA", at positions 29 to 507 of the family's 1533-position model. The record is from RNAcentral.